CUGCUGAUGCUUGUAACUUCAUUCAGAAACUCUUCACCAUUUGCUUUGCUCUCUGUCAAGACCUUGACAGCCACCUGAUGGCCGUUGCUCAACUUCCCUUUGUACACGCUGCCAUAUCCUCCUUUGCCUAAUUUCUCGGAGAAUGAAUUUGUCAUUUUCUUCACAUCCGAAUAUGUGUACCUCUUUGGAGCCAAAGAUCCAUGAGCAGCAAUGAAUGCCUCGACAUCGACAUGAUCCUGACCAUUUUUGUGGCUGCAAAUAAUAGUCUUCAGCAAUAAGCACCAGCUUUUGCGGCGGCAGAUUAUUACAAGGAUAAACAAAACAGCAGCACCAGACAGACCAGCUACAACUGCAAAACAUCCAAAUAAGAAAGUUCUGUCAGUGGCUAGAUUGUGGCCCGAUCCUGUGGCAGUGAGACGGCAGAAUUCAAGUGAUUCAGAUGAAAGAGACUCUCAUGGAGACAAGCAUGCACACGAACAUCCACUCACAUACGACUCAAUGGUAAACAUGGAAAGUGCUUUCAGGUCAACUGAUGAACAACUGAACCAGUUGUGGAGUGAAGCAGCUGGAGGAAGCUUGUGAAGUUUUUUUUCUUUUUUUUUUUCAGCUCAUUUGGCCUGACCAGGGAUGCAGCUAAGGUUCCAAAGCAACUUUUUAAUUGUAACUAUAUCUAUUAUUUCUGGCUAGAGAGGUAUAGCUGGAUAUUUCAAUUGUUAAUGAAGAUAACAUCGUGGGUCGUCUUCGGCAACCUGCGGCUGUCUUUUGUUGACCGCUUAUGCAGAUGUAACUAGAAGGAUGUUGACUUCU
This is a non-coding RNA of Punica granatum (pomegranate), 807 nucleotides long. The record is from RefSeq and is a predicted model, not a curated record. Lineage: Eukaryota; Viridiplantae; Streptophyta; Magnoliopsida; Myrtales; Lythraceae.